Molecule: transfer RNA, 90 nt
Filed under: Pseudomonadota bacterium
Lineage: Bacteria; Pseudomonadati; Pseudomonadota
Description: Proteobacteria bacterium (cold seep metagenome) tRNA-Ser
Rfam family: tRNA
About the family: Transfer RNA (tRNA) molecules are approximately 80 nucleotides in length. Their secondary structure includes four short double-helical elements and three loops (D, anti-codon, and T loops).
Source: RNAcentral
GGAGAGGUGGCCGAGUGGUCGAAGGCAGCUGCCUGCUAAGCAGUUGUAGGGGUGACUCUACCGGGGGUUCGAAUCCCCCCCUCUCCGCCA